This 72-nucleotide transfer RNA is filed under the name Camelus bactrianus (Bactrian camel). It matches the Rfam family "tRNA". Rfam says of the family: Transfer RNA (tRNA) molecules are approximately 80 nucleotides in length. Lineage: Eukaryota; Metazoa; Chordata; Mammalia; Artiodactyla; Camelidae. RNAcentral also lists the same sequence under 2 other names. The record is from Rfam by way of RNAcentral.
GAGGGUAUAGCUCAGUGGUGAAGUGUGCACUUAGCAUUUACAAGGUCCUGGGUUCAAUCCCCAGUACUUCUA